RNAcentral lists this ribosomal RNA (497 nucleotides) under uncultured bacterium. Its description in RNAcentral is "partial 16S ribosomal RNA". It matches the Rfam family "Bacterial small subunit ribosomal RNA", at positions 28 to 507 of the family's 1533-position model. The record is from RNAcentral.
GAUGAACGCUGGCGGCGUGCCUACUACAUGCAAGUCGAGCGAACAGAUGAGGAGCUUGCUCCUCUGUCGUUAGCGGCCGACGGGUGAGUAGCACGUGGAUCACCUACCUAUAUGACUGUGAUAACUUCGGAAAACCGGUGCUAAUACCGGAUAAUAUAUUGACCCGCAUGGUUCAAUAGUGAAAGACGGUUUUGCUGUCACUUAUAGAUGGAUCCGCGCCGCAUUAGCUAGUUGGUAAGGUAACGGCUUACCAAGGCAACGAUGCGUAGCCGACCUGAGCGCGUGAUCGGCGAAACUGGAACUGAGACACGGGCCAGACGCCUAGGGGAGGCAGCAGUAGGGAAGCGUCCGCAAUGGGGGAAAGCCUGACGGAGCAACGCCGCGUGAGUGAUGGAGGUCUUCGGAUCGUAAAAUUGUGUUAUUAGGGAAGAACAAAUGUGUAAGUAACAAUGCACGUCUUGACGGUACCUAGUCAGAAAGCCACGGCUAACUACGUG